Molecule: ribosomal RNA, 398 nt
Filed under: Sphaerodactylus klauberi
Lineage: Eukaryota; Metazoa; Chordata; Lepidosauria; Squamata; Sphaerodactylidae
Description: partial 16S ribosomal RNA
Rfam family: Bacterial large subunit ribosomal RNA
Source: RNAcentral
AUGGCUGCAUGAGGACCAAUCUGUCUCCUUUGACCAAUCAAUGAACCUGAUUUCUCAGUACAAAAGCUGAGAUAAGACCAUAAGACAAGAAGACCCUGUGGAGCUUAAAAUACCAAUACUAACCCCCCUCAACCCACAAGGCUCACACCACCAAAAUAGUAUACAUUUUUAGUUGGGGCGACUACGGAACCAAACAAAACUUCCACGACACAAGACCACCCAUCCCCCCCCCCAGGUCAACAAACCUAUCCCCCAUUUGACCCAGUUAUACUGACCAACGAACCAAGUUACCCCAGGGAUAACAGCGCCAUCCUCUUCAAGAGCCCCUAUCGCCAAGAGGGUUUACGACCUCGAUGUUGGAUCAGGACCCCCAGGUGGUGCAACCGCUACCAACGGUU